This 830-nucleotide ribosomal RNA is filed under the name Escherichia coli. Its description in RNAcentral is "partial 23S ribosomal RNA". It matches the Rfam family "Bacterial large subunit ribosomal RNA", at positions 364 to 1196 of the family's 2925-position model. The record is from RNAcentral. Lineage: Bacteria; Pseudomonadati; Pseudomonadota; Gammaproteobacteria; Enterobacterales; Enterobacteriaceae.
GUGACAGCCCCGUACACAAAAAUGCACAUACUGUGAGCUCGAUGAGUAGGGCGGGACACGUGGUAUCCUGUCUGAAUAUGGGGGGACCAUCCUCCAAGGCUAAAUACUCCUGACUGACCGAUAGUGAACCAGUACCGUGAGGGAAAGGCGAAAAGAACCCCGGCGAGGGGAGUGAAAAAGAACCUGAAACCGUGUACGUACAAGCAGUGGGAGCACAGAGCAAUCUGUGUGACUGCGUACCUUUUGUAUAAUGGGUCAGCGACUUAUAUUCUGUAGCAAGGUUAACCGAAUAGGGGAGCCGAAGGGAAACCGAGUCUUAACUGGGCGUUAAGUUGCAGGGUAUAGACCCGAAACCCGGUGAUCUAGCCAUGGGCAGGUUGAAGGUUGGGUAACACUAACUGGAGGACCGAACCGACUAAUGUUGAAAAAUUAGCGGAUGACUUGUGGCUGGGGGUGAAAGGCCAAUCAAACCGGGAGAUAGCUGGUUCUCCCCGAAAGCUAUUUAGGUAGCGCCUCGUGAAUUCAUCUCCGGGGGUAGAGCACUGUUUCGGCAAGGGGGUCAUCCCGACUUACCAACCCGAUGCAAACUGCGAAUACCGGAGAAUGUUAUCACGGGAGACACACGGCGGGUGCUAACGUCCGUCGUGAAGAGGGAAACAACCCAGACCGCCAGCUAAGGUCCCAAAGUCAUGGUUAAGUGGGAAACGAUGUGGGAAGGCCCAGACAGCCAGGAUGUUGGCUUAGAAGCAGCCAUCAUUUAAAGAAAGCGUAAUAGCUCACUGGUCGAGUCGGCCUGCGCGGAAGAUGUAACGGGGCUAAACCAUGCACCG